UCCGGCGUAGCGCAAUGGUAGCGCGGCUCCCUGUUAAGGAGAAGGUUGCAGGUUCGAGUCCUGCCGCCGGAGCCA
Molecule: transfer RNA, 75 nt
Filed under: candidate division WWE3 bacterium RBG_16_37_10
Lineage: Bacteria; candidate division WWE3
Also listed under: 5 other names
Description: tRNA-Asn
Rfam family: tRNA
About the family: Transfer RNA (tRNA) molecules are approximately 80 nucleotides in length. Their secondary structure includes four short double-helical elements and three loops (D, anti-codon, and T loops).
Source: RNAcentral